RNAcentral lists this long non-coding RNA (15315 nucleotides) under Volvox carteri. RNAcentral's name for it is "long non-coding RNA (VCAR_LNC001087)". The record is from RNAcentral. Lineage: Eukaryota; Viridiplantae; Chlorophyta; Chlorophyceae; Chlamydomonadales; Volvocaceae.
GCUGGCAGAGGUUAAGGCCUGACUUCUGCUCCCAGUUGAUCCAGUCGACCCGGGUUCAAAUCCGCCUGCCGGCUCCUCGGGUGUUUGAGGAGUGAUGAAAUGGGAGGUGGCCCCCCAUCUUAUGGACGGUGUAGGACGUGAUAAUAUCAACUUGCGAGCUGACCAGGAACUAAGUUGAUGCGCCGUUGAUCCGCUAGAUUUGGUUGGAUGCUGGUGGUGAGUUGCCGAACCCAACGAAUACAUUCUGAAGUCGGAUGGGGUGACGGAUUAGGGUGCCCCUCUAGCAGGGGAGAGCAGGGACUGCCCCGGGAAAGGGGGCCGCUGGCGAAGUUAACCACCCUGUAACAACAUACAUACACGUGGUCCUUUUCCGUUAUCUGGGCAUAAGGCAACACAGCCUCUCGCGCUCAUUCACAUGGAUGUAAUGUAAUGUAAUGUAAUGUUACAGAGUGGGAGGCUUCUGGGCCGCUUUAUCACAUUGUCAGUUCUACGAUUUAUCAUCUUAUAGCACCGUCCACCACUACCACACUAUACUUCGCCAUACGAACUGUAAGUCCAAGGCGGCGGGUCCAGCCGUCUAGGACCCCUCCUCAUCCAUUCACCCGAACAACCGAAGAGACGGAGGGUUCGGCAAUCGCCACCAAUCUAGCGUGCGAAUCUGGUCCAUCAACUGCGACCUCAACUCCACAUCUCAGCAGCUAGCCAUAAUCUCGCGCUCCCGACUAAUUCGGGGGUAUCCCCAGGAAUCGAACCCAGGACCUUAAACCGCGAAUCGCAGUAGUGUCAACCCAGACCAGACCAGACAUGGAUGUGUGUGGGCCUAUGCCUGAACCUUCGCCUAGUGGUUCGCGUUACGUGACAACCCUGCUUGACGACCAUACUGGUCUUUCAGCUGUUGCGUUUACAGCGACCAAGGAGGAGGUCUACCAGAAAAUGGUGGUAAUGAUAGCGGAACUGGAGCGCGCUACUGGCAGGCAGGUUAAGGAGGUGCGUACAGAUCGUGGCGGGGAGUUCGUUAAUACUCGCACGAAGGCCUAUUUCGCUUCCAGGGGUAUUCUACACGGAACUACUGUAGGCUACACCCCUGAGCAGAACGGAGCUGCAGAACGUUUAAAUCGCACUCUUUUGGACAAGACUAGGGCUAUGCUAGUUGAGUCUGGACUGCCUAAAUCAUUAUGGGCGGAGGCGUUAGCGACAGCCAACUAUCUUAGGAAUGUGUCGCCAACUGCUGGGUCAACCGUCACUCCGUACGAAGCUUUCUUUAAUGUUCGUCCGAACGUCAGUCACCUGCGAGUCUUUGGAUGCGUUGCCUACGUCCACGUACCCGACGUCAAGCGCAACAAGUUCGACCCGGUGAGCAGGCGUGGAAUACUUGUCGGAUACGGGAACGGUGGACAGUAUCGUGUACUAUACGAGGACGGCAUUAUUGCCGUAGUUUCCAACGUUCGUUUUGAUGAAUCUAACGUCGGCUGGCGGCGUAAUGCCGGGGACUCCGAUUAUGAGUCCGAUGCCGACGAGGAGGAGGAUUUUCGCACUAGUUUGCCUGGUGAGGGAUCGCUGCCUAGGGCUGGCGAAGGGAUACCAGGUAGCACCGUCGGCGAGGGAUCGCCGCACUUGGGUGGCGAGGGGGCGCCGGCUGGGGCUGGACCUUCCAGCAGUGCGAAUGGGCAAGGAAUCAAUCAGCCUGAUGUGGAAAUGGCGGGAACUAGGUAUCCAGUUAGAGAGCGUAAACGUCCUGGCGAAUGGUGGCGAAACGAACCCGGUCGCACUGUCACUGGUCGCGUUAACGCUGCUUUCUCUGCUGGUAUUCCUGAGCCUAAUUCGUUUGAGGAAGCAAUUGCAAGUCCACAUGCAGACGACUGGCGGCGUGCGAUGGACGAGGAGAUCGCCGCCCAGAUGGCUAAUAGUCUGGUCUGGGUUGACACUACUGCAAUUAGCGGUUUAAGGUCCUGGGUUCGAUUCCUGGGGAGACCCCCGAAUUAGUCGGGAGCGCGAGAUUAUGGCUAGCUGCUGAGAUGUGGAGUUGAGGUCACAGUUGAUGGACCAGAUUCGCACGCUGGAUUGGUGGCGAUUGCCGAACCCUCCGUCUCUUCGGGUGUUCGGGUGAAUGGAUGAGGAGGGGUCCCUGAAGGCUGGAUCCGCCGCCUUGGACUUACAGUUCGUAUGGCGAAGUACAGUGUGGUAGUGGUGGAUGGUGCUAUAAGGUGAUAAAUGAUCUAGAACUGACAAUGUGAUAAAGCGGCCCAGAAGCCUCCCACUCUGUAACAUUACAUUACAUUACAUUACAUUACAUAAUAGUACUUGGGAGCUGAAGACGCCACCUCCUCGUUUGUUGCCGUGUCGUUGGGUAUAUAAGGUUAAGUACAGCGAUGACGGCAGCGUGGAGCGUUUUAAGGCGCGUUUAGUUGCCAAGGGUUUCGAGCAACGUGAGGGGAUUGAUUAUGGGGAGUUGAUGUUGUUACAGGGUGGUUAAGCUUCACCAGUGGCCUCCUUCCCGAGGCAGUUCCCUGCUCUCCCCUGCUAGAGGGGCACCCUAAGCCAUUCACCCCAUCCGACUUCAGAGUGUACUCUUUGAGUUUGGCAGCUCACCACCAGCAUCCAACCAAAUCUAGCGGAUCAACGGCGCGUCAACUUAGUUCCUGGUCAGCUCGCGAGUUGAUUUUAUCACGUCCUACACCGUCCACAAGAUGGGGGGCCACCUCCCAUUUCAUCACCUCUCAAACACCCCGAGAGGUCGGCAGGCGGAUUUGAACCCGGACGCGCUGGGACGCGACGGGAGCAGAAGCCAGGCCUUAACCUCUGCCAGCCGCCUGCCUGCCUGCCGGAGUUGUUUGCCCCUACCUCUCGUGGUUCGUCAUUGCGUGCUUUAUUAGCAGUUGCCGCAGCCCGGAACAUGACGGUACGUCAACUCGAUGUGUCUACUGCGUUUCUGAAUGGUGAGCUGAAGGAGGAGUUGUGGAUGGAGCAACCGCCUGGGUAUGCAUCCAGUGACCGGUCGCUUGCGUGCAAGCUGCAGAAGUCUAUUUACGGUUUAAAGCAGGCACCCCGUUGCUGGUAUGAAAAACUAUCAGCAGAGUUCGCCAAGUUGGGUCUUUAUCCUUCGAAGUCUGAUCCGGCGAUGUUCGUUAAGACUGACGAGCGUGGGGUUGUUAUUGCUUUGGUGCACGUAGAUGACACUAUUGUUGCGUCGGANNNNNNNNNNNNNNNNNNNNNNNNNNNNNNNNNNNNNNNNNNNNNNNNNNNNNNNNNNNNNNNNNNNNNNNNNNNNNNNNNNNNNNNNNNNNNNNNNNNNNNNNNNNNNNNNNNNNNNNNNNNNNNNNNNNNNNNNNNNNNNNNNNNNNNNNNNNNNNNNAACAUAGGUAUAUUGCGCAGCUAUUGGAGCGUCAUAAGUUGGUUGACGCCAAGCCGAGGUCUACUCCUUUGCCUCCGGGUUUUAGGUACACUCCUACGGGGGACGGAGAGGAGCUGCUGGGCAAUCCCACGGAGUAUAGGGCUUUGGUGGGAGAAUUGAACUAUCUUGCGACGAACACGCGGCCUGACAUUUCUUAUGCAUUGAGUGUUUUGUCCCGGCAUAUGGCCACACCUUCGAAGACUGCCAUGAACUUGGCCACUGGCGUUCUGCGUUACCUGGCGGGUACUCGCGAACUAGGAUUGCGUUUUGGGGGUGUUGGCGACGUUGCUAUGUCCGGGUAUAGCGAUUCUGACUGGGCAGGAGACCCAGUUACGCGGCGUUCUACGUCCGGUUACGUAUUCACUCUUAAUGGGGCUGCGAUUAGCUGGAGCAGCCAACUUCAACGUACUGUGGCGGCUUCGUCGGUGGAGGCUGAGUACCAAGCUACAGCGGCGGCUGUUCGUGAGGCUUUGUGGCUUCGCAAGCUGAUGGUUGAUUUGAGCUUGCCUGAGAGCGCGGUGAAAAUCCAGAUAGACUCCCAGGGGGCGCUUAGCUUGGGAAACAACCCAAUUACGCCUGCUCGGUCGAAGCACAUCGACGUGCAGCAUCACAUAGUGUGUGAGAGGGUGAAUAGCGGUGAGGUGCAGUUGGAAUACUGCCCUACGGAGUGGAUGGUUGCGGAUGUACUAAUGAAGGCUCUGGGCGAGGUGAAGUUCAAACGUUGCCGAGAUGCUAUGGGCCUAGUGUGAAGUGUGCAGAUGAUCUUGGUACUCGUUGGGAUACGGCCCGAGGGGGCGUGUUGAGGAAACGGUCCUCUCCCAACUCGUGUGGUUGUCGACCAGGGGAUUUGACCCCGGGUCUGCGCCUGACUAAUGGGGAAGACUUACCCCAGAACCUUAUGGGGCUAUCGAUGCAUAUCCGGUAGCUAAGUGAUAGACAUUAGGGCACCGUCUGGACGGCGCAGUGAGAUCGCGGAAUGUACGUGCAGUUAGAUCGCGGAAUGUACGAGUUUUCCGCUAGCGCCGGUAUUUAGGGCGGUGACUGCGCCUAUUAGUUUAUCUCAUAACGAUCGGUAUUCCUACCAGGAAUCUCCUCAAGUCCUGCCGAACGCUAACAAUACUCUUUACAUUACUUGUAACAGUUUAUCGUGCUAAAUAUCUUCGCCACCGGCAAUCCUUCCGAAAUAACAAUCAGCGUUAGCCGUCACCGUCGCCAAUUCUUCAAUAAAACGCUCCAUGCUGCCGUCAUCACUGUACUUAACCUUAUACACCCAACGACACGGCAACAAACGAGUACCAGGAGGUGGCUUCUUCAGCUCCCAAGUACUAUUAGCCAUCUGGGCGGCAAGGAGACUGGUCGUGAUAUAAGGGUUACAGUCUGUGGGUUAGUGGUGAACGGCUAGAGGACUUUAGGAGAUUCUUAUGAAGGAAUACCGAUCCAUCCGAAGAUGAGAUAGAAAGACAUGCACCACUCUGGUCUUAUGUACCGAUACCAACGGAAGUAUCGUACAGUCGCCCACCAUCAACGCUGGACAAGAGGGGACGUCCGAGAUACGCGGCCGGGAGACCCUAGGCAAGGUCGAGGCACGUCCGAGGCAAGGUCGAGGCACGUCCGAGGCAUCGCCUAUCACGGCGGAUUCAUCACCUAUCUACCACCUAUCUACACUUGUGUCAUAUAUUCCAGUACCAAUCGAAGUAUCGUACAGUCGUCCACCAUCCCUGGACGAGAGGACACAUCAGAGAUACACGGCCGAGAGACCCGAGACAAGGUCGAGGCAUGACCGAGGCAAAGUCAAGGCCAAGGUCGAGGCACGGUCGAGGCAAGGUCAAGGCACGGCCGAGGCAUCGCCUAUCAUGGCGGAUUCAUCGCCUAUAUACCACCUACCUACGUUGGGAUAGGACCGCCCUUCAACAGUUGAUCCGCCUUGUUAAACCACACCUCCUAGCACGGGUAGCAAGGAUAGGCCUAAGAUGCGGGGUGCACUUGAGAGCCUGUGCCGCGGUCUGGAAGGUGAUAGUGGUGAACCAGCUCGUGCUGAGACGGGGAUUUUGUGUCUUCUGCCAUCGAGGGUUUGCUGCAGUCAGAGACCAUCAAACCUUGCCCGUCAUGACCUGUGCCUUGGGCGUCGUAGAGCAGAAAGGCAAGCUUCGCCUCAUCUGGGACGGACGUGAAGUCAAUAAGCACCUGCACAUCCCACUAUGAGUCGCUUGUGCAGGUCCCAGGCUGGCUAGGCCCCAAGGACUACAUGUUCACCCUGGACCUGAAGUCUGGUUACCACCAUAUGGUCGUACGCGAAGCAGACUGGCGCUACCUUGGUUUUGAAUGGCAAGGCCAGUUCUACAUCUAUACACAACUCUUUUUCGGCCUUGCCUCCGCCUGUUGGGCAUUCACCAAGCUAAUACACGAGAUCACGCGGACUUGGAGACGGAAGGAAGGGCUGGCAGUGCUCAGGAUACAUCGAUGAUCAGAUCCACGCCCACCAGGACACCCAGACCCUCAUCAUCCGCCGCACCAUAAUCCUCGACCUCUUUGAGCGCCUGGGGUUCUGUGUGAACCGUGACAAGUCAAUGAUGGGCGAGCCCCAGCAGCAAGUGAGGUACCUGGGUAUGCUGUUAGAUACAUUAGGUACAUUGUGCCUGAAGAUAAGCGCACUUUCCUGCUCGGCUGCAUCCACUCGGCUCUGGGAAAACGGCGCAUCAAGGCGAGAAAUUGGCCUGCUUAAAAUGGCAGCUUCUGUCCAUGUCUUGGGUGUUCGGGCAAGUAGCCCAGGCUCUGGGGCAGGAUAUUGAGUCGCGCCACACCUGGGAUACCCACAUCCGCUUAUCUAACGACGCAACUGCAGAGCUCGAAUUCUGGCUGCGCUGUUUCGACUGGUUUAACGGAACCCGUGCCCUCUGGGAGCCCACACAGGUGCACUCGGUCGUUUUCUGUGAUGCAGCCAGGAAAUCCCUCAAGCACCUCGGGAGUUGGGGUGCCUGGACGCUGAUCGACGGGAAGUUGGCCCAAGCCCGCGGUAAUUGGGGAGAAUGUUAAGAAUAUGAAGGAGGCAAAGAGACUGGUCGCGAUGUAAGUAUUACAGUCGGUAGGUGAGUGGUGAACGGCAGGAAGACUUUAGGAAAUUCCUACUAAGGAAUACCGAUCCAUACAAAGAUGAGAUACCAAGACUUGCAUAACUUGUGUCUUAUAUACCAGUACCAAUGGAAGUAUCGUACAGUCGCCCACCAUCUAACUUGGACAUGAGGACACGUCCGAGAUACAGGGCCGCGAGACCCGAGGCAAUGUAGAGGCACGGCUGAGGCAAGGUCGAGGCACGUCCGGAUUCAUCGCCUAUCUACCACCUAUCUGCGUUGGGAUAGGACCGCCCUUCAACACGACCCCUCGGGACAUAUCCCAACUCUGGUCUGGUCUGGGUUGACACUACUGCGAUUCGCGGUUUAAGGUUCUGGGUUCGAUUCCUGGGGAGACCCCCGAAUUAGUCGGGAGCGCGAGAUUAUGGCUAGCUGCUGAGAUGUGGAGUUGAGGUCGCAGUUGAUGGACCAGAUUCGCACGCUAGAUUGGUGGCGAUUGCCGAACCCUCCGUCUCUUCGGUUGUUCGGGUGAAUGGAUGAGGAGGGGUCCUAGAUGGCUGGACCCGCCGCCUUGGACUUACAGUUCGUAUGGCGAAGUAUAGUGUGGUAGUGGUGGACGGUGCUAUAAGAUGACAAAUCGUAGAACUGACAAUGUGAUAAAGCGGCCCAGAAGCCUCCCACUCUGUAACAUUACAGAUAUCCCAACUCGCAGUAGCACAUUUGCUCCACCAAUGGGCGGCACUUCACACAACGCCCAUAGCUUCUCUGCACCGUUUGAACUUCACUUCUCCCAGUGCCUUCAUGAGCGCACCCGCUACCAUCCACUCUGUAGGGCAGUACUCCAACCCCGCUAUUCACCCUCUCACACACUAUGUGGUGCUGCACGUCGAUGUGUUUCGACCCAGCAGACGUAAUCGGAUGAUUUCCCAAGCUAAGCGCACCCUGGGAGUCUAUCUGGAUUUUCACCGCGCUCUCAGGCAAGCCCAAAUCGACCAUCAGCUUGCAAAGCCACAAAGCUUCAUGAACAGCCGCCGCUGUAGCUGGGUACUCGGCCUCCACCAACGAAGCCGCCACAGUACGUUGAAGUUGGCUGCUCCAGCUAAUCGCAGCCCCAUUAAGAGUGAAUACGUAACCGGACGUAGAACGCCGCGUAACAGGGUCUCCUGCCCAGCCCGAAUCACUGUACCCGGACAUUGCAACACCACCAACACCCCCAAAAUCCUAGUUCGUGAGUACCCGCCAGGUAACACAGAAUGCCAGUGGCCAAGUUCAUGGCAGUCUUCGUAGGUGUGGCCAUAUGCCGGGACAAAAUGCUCAAUGCAUACGAAAUGUCGGGUGUUCGAUUGUUCGUCGCCAGAUAGUUCCAUUCUCCCACCAACUCGGGGGGAUUGCCCAGCAGCUCCUCUCCGUCCCCCGUAGGAGUGUACCCCUAAAGCCCGGAGGCAAAGGGGUAGAUCUCGGCUUGGCGUCAACCAUCCUAUGACGCUCCAACAGCUGCGACAUACCUAUGCUGCGACAACACUAACUCACCCGACUUCUCCCUCCUAAUCUCCAUGCCCCAAAACACCUUCGCUUCUCCAAGGUCACGCACCUUGAAGACUUUCACAAUUGCUGCUUUAAUGGCGCGGACCAUUUCCGGGUCUUCUGAUGCAACAAUGCAACAGGCAGGCGGCUGGCAGAAGUUAAGGCCUGGCUUCUGCUCCCGUCGCGUCCCGGCGCGUCCGGGUUCAAAUCCGCCUGCCGACCUCUCGGGGUGUUUGAGAGGUGAUGAAAUGGGAGGUGGCCCCCCAUCUUGUGGACGGUGUAGGACGUGAUAAAAUCAAUUCGCGAGCUGACCAGGAAUUAAGUUGACGCGCCGUUGAUCCGCUAGAUUUGGUUGGAUGCUGGUGGUGAGUUGCCAAACUCAAAGAGUACACUCUGAAGUCGGAUGGGGUGAAUGGCUUAGGGUGCCCCUCUAGCAGGGGAGAGCAGGGAAUUGCCUCGGGAAGGAGGCCACUGGUGAAGCUUAACCACCCUGUAACAACAUCAACAAUGGUGUCAUCUACGUGCACCAAAGCAAUAACAACCCCACGCUGAUAGCUUUUCAUACCAGCAACGGGGUGCCUGCUUCAAACCGUAAAUAGACAGACCUCUGCAGCUUGCACGCAAGCGACCGGUCAAUGGAUUCAUACCCAGGCGGUUGCUCCAUCCAGGGUUGCUGCAUCCACAACUCCUCCUUCAACUUGCCGUUCAAAAAUGCAGUAGACACAUCGAGCUGAUGCACUGUCAUGUUCGGCAUCUUCAGCUCCCAAGUACUGUUAGCCAUCUGGGCGGCGAUCUCCUUGUCCAUUGCACGCCGCCAAUCGUCUGCAUGUGGACUUGCAAUGGCUUCCGCAAACGAAUUCGGUUCAGGAAUACCAGCAGAAAAAGCAGCAUUAACGCGACCAGUUACAGUGCGACCAGGCUCAUUUCGCCACCACUCGCCAGGGCGUUUACACUCUGAAUCUGGGUACCUAGUUCCCGCCAUUUCCACAUCAGGCUCACUACUUCCUUGCCCGUUCACACUGCUGGAAGGUCCAGCCCCAGCCGGCGCCCCCUCACCACCCAAAUGGGGCGAUCCCUCGCCGACAGUAUUGCCUGAUGUUCCUUCGCCACCCCUCACCAGGCAAGAUAGUGUAAACGUCAUCCUCCUCAUCGGUAUCGGACCCAUAAUCGGAGUCCCCGGCACUACGCCGCCGGCCGACAUUGGACUCAUCAAAGCAGACACUGGAGACAACAGCGAUGACGCCGUCCUCGUACAGUACGCGGUACUGUCCUCCAUUCCCGUAUCCGACUAGGAUUCCUUACCUGCUUACCGGAUCGAGUUUGUCUCACUUGACGUUGGGCACAUGAACGUAUGCAGCGCAUCCAAAAGACCUGCAGAUGGCUGACAUUCGGAUGAACACCAAAGAAGGCUUGAUGUGGUGUGACGGUUGACCCAGCAGCGACACGUUCCUGAGGUAGUUUGCAGUCGCCAACGCUUCCGCCCACAGUGAUUUUGGGAGUCCAGACUCUAUGAGCUUGAACUGGCUUUGUCUAGGAGAGUGCGGUUCAGGCGUUCUGCUGCACCGUUCUGCUCAGGAGUGUAGCCCGCAGUAGUUCCGUGCAAAAUACCCCUUGAUGUGAAGUAGUUUUUCGUGCGAGUAUUCACAAAUUCCCCGCCAUGAUCCGUGCGCACUCCUUUACCUGCCAACCAGAUGCCCGUUCCAGGUCCGCUAUCAUCACCACCACCUUCUGAUAUAUCUCCUCCUUGGUCGCCGUAAAUGCAACCGCUGACAGACCGGUGGGGUUAUCAAGAAGGGUGGUCACAUAACGCGAACCAUUUGGUUCAGGCAUGUGAAUGAGUGCAAGAGGCUGCGCUGCCUUAUGCCCAGAUAACAGAAAAGGACCCGUUGUAUGCUUUGCAAGGACGCAAGUCUCACACACACACGCGCUGGCUGAUUGUAUGCUGUGUCAGUCAAUAUCGAGCCCAGUUACCAUAUUGUGACGCAGCAACGCCUCAAGGUUGCUGUAUCUAUCACAAGUGGCCAUACCGUCGGUGCCAAAGUGCUGCACGUUCAGCUCCGAUAAUGCUGCCAUGCCGAUACCCAUGGCAGCACACACUGCACCACCACCAGAAGGCAUCCUGUUGCGUUCACGCUGCGUCUAUUUCAGAGCGCCUGUACCUCCACUGCUGUAGCAAACGGGAUAAAAGUCCCCUUCCCGCUUUCCAGUCAGCACCAACUGGUUCUGUACGUAUACAAGUUACAAGUUACAAGUGCCGCACGAGUGCGGGGGUGUCCGUCAAAGCCGGGAGGCCAUGGACUAUAUGUAUUGAAAGUUGAUUACACCAUACGACCGACGGCGGUUUGGGUCCUGCCAACUAGACCCCUCCUCAUCCAGUCACCCAACAUCCGUAGAGACAGAUCAGCCACCACCUCCAUCUCAGCAUGCGAAACUUAGUCCAUCAACUAGACCGCAUCUCCACACCUCAGCAGCGUCAACAAUGUCGGGGGUCUGACCAGGAAUCGAACCCGGAACCUUCAUAUACACGAAGGCGCCACCAGACCAGACCACGUAUAAUUUCACCUGUCCGCCGCCGAAGACCACACUGCCUCCACGAUCAUCAAUGAUGCGGACCGAUAGGAUUUUGGCGGUGGCCUCCUCAUCGAUGUAGACCUUCUUAAGUGCUGGCCUGUUUAUCGUUGACGUUAGACCGAAUCAUAAGCGUGCCAACUUCAGUCGGCCAAAGAGGCUGUCCCUUGAUGCCCAUGACGUUUAAGCGCUCCCACAGCUCCAACAACCGCACGUUGAGAAGUUCUGAGCGGUCAUACGUUAUGUGAUGAGUGGCGGCUGAGUCCAGGAACCACCCCGUCGGAUGCUCACCAUUGUAAGCUGUGAACGCAACCUGCCGCGGGAAGCCUGAUCCCCUUCCAGACCCACUGGGCCCAGGCUUGCUGCCGCUAGCUCCACUGCCACCACCACCCAUACCUUGUCCACUGCCGGAAAUGGACAACUGCUUUAGUGCCUUUAACUUCCUGCAAGUUUUUAAUAUCGUGCCCGGGUUUUUUGCAAUAGUGACAAAACAAAUGUUUGGGGGGACCGCCAGAACUGCUGCUGGCCUCGCCGUGAUUCCUAAGACCAGAACCAGAGGCGCCAAACGUGAGACCGCCGACAGAAGCAAAAGCUGCCGACUCAGUAGGCUUACUAGACCCACCGCUAGCCAAAAGCUUGGAGGUGACGCUCGCCAUGUCCAAAUCACCGUCACGCACCAGCAGGGACGUCGUUUCCAUGUUGAAGCGGCUGGGUAGACCAACCAGCACUGUGUACGCAAGCUCCGAGUCGCUGAUAACGUGCCCCACUCCCAGCAAGUCUGAUUGUAAUUGCCGCGCACGUGCUUGGGUAGCGGCUCACCGUCGACCAUCUUGAAACGGCUGAACUCUUGACGGAGAGCUACCUUGCGUGCGUUAAUGUUGGCGACAAACAUCGCGGCCAAAGCGUCCCAUGCCCUCUUCCCGUUGUGAGCGGGGGUGGUUCCUGGACUUAGCCGCCACCAAAAGCCACUGUAAUACUUACACUGCGACCAGUCUCCUUGCCUCCUUCAUAUUCUUAACAUUCUUGAUGAGCAGGUUGAUAACCUUACGAGAUUGUCGAAUCUGCUCCUCGUUUCCCGGCUCGACGAGUAGGACUUGCUCAAGCCCAAGCUCCAUACACAGCGCGCUGAACCGAAUUUGCCAGGUGGCGUAGUUGUUGAUGUUGUUACAGGGUGGUUAAGCUUCACCAGUGGCCUCCUUCCCGAGGCAGUUCCCUGCUCUCCCCUGCUAGAGGGGCACCCUAAUCCAUUCACCCCAUCCGACUUCAGUAUGUACUCUUUGAGUUUGGCAACUCACCACCGGCAUCCAACCAAAUCUAGCGGAUCAACGGCGCGUCAACUUAGUUCCUGGUCAGCUCGCAAGUUGUUAUGAGCCCCGGCUCACGCUAGCAGCAUGUACCUCUAAUACUCGUAUUCCACAAUGGGGAAGGACAAGCUUGACGAGCCUCUGGACUUGAACAACUACGCCACCUGGCAAAUUCGGUUCAGCACGCUGUGUAUGGAGCUUGGGCUUGAGCAAGUCCUACUCGUCGAGCCGGGAAACGAGGAGCAGAUUCGACAAUCUCGUAAGGUUAUCAACCUGCUCAUCAAGAAUGUUAAGAAUAUGAAGGAGGCAAGGAGACUGGUCGCGAUGUAAGUAUUACAGUCGGUAGGUGAGUGGUGAACGGCAGGAAGACUUUAGGAGAUUCCUAUGAAGGAAUACCGAUCCAUACAAAGAUGAGAUACCAAGACUGGCAUAACUUGUGUCUUAUACACCAGUACCAAUCGAAGUAUCGUACAGUCGCCCACCAUCUAACUUGGACACGAGGACACGUCCGAGAUACGCGGCCGAGAGACCCGAGGCAAUGUAGAGGCACGUCCGGAUUCAUCGCCUAUCACGGCGGAUUCAUCGCCUAUCUACCACCUAUCUACGUUGGGAUAGGACCGCCCUUCAACAGAGAAAGGGUCAGUUCGAUGGGGUCAACGCCCCAGGAGCUCCAGGCAGUCCUACACGCACUUCAAUCCUUCAACGGUCCUGCAGGCCUACGACACCAAGUCGUCCGGGUGAAUACUGACAAUCUCAAUUGCGCCAACGUCCUCAACAAAGGGUCCGCAAAAGCCGAGGACUCGUACCGGAUUGCCUGCGAAAUGUUUUGGUACUGUAUUGCCGAGGGUAUCACACUGCAGGCGGAGUGGCGGCCGCGAGAAGAAAACACUCUGGCGGACUACCUCUCAAAGCUGCAGGACCGGGACGACUGGAUGGUGAACCGUAAGGAAAUUCAGAGGCUCAACACCGCCUGGGGUCCCUUUGACAUUGAUCUUUUCGCGUCACACACCAGCUGCCACAAUACUAUUCCCGCUUCUUCACGCCAGAUACCGCGGGUGUAGAUGCCUUUCGGUUCCACUGGGGACGGAAUUGCUGGGCGAACCCGCCUUUCUGUUGUUGAUGUUGUUACAGGGUGGUUAAGCUUCACCAGUGGCCUCCUUCCCGAGGCAAUUCCCUGCUCUCCCCUGCUAGAGGGGCACCCUAAGCCAUUCACCCCAUCCGACUUCAGAGUGUACUCUUUGAGUUUGGCAACUCACCACCAGCAUCCAACCAAAUCUAGCGGAUCAACGGCGCCUCAACUUAGUUCCUGGUCAGCUCGCGAGUUGAUUUUAUCACGUCCUACACCGUCCAUAAGAUGGGGAGCCUCCUCCCAUUUCACCACCUCUCAAACACCCGAGAGGUCGGCAGGCGGAUUUGAACCCGGGUAGACCGGGAGCAGAAGUCAGGCCUUAACUUCUGCCAGCCGCCUGCUUUCUGUUUGCUACUUAAGGUCCUGCGGCCGCCUGCUUUCUGUUUGCUACUUAAGGUCCUGCGGCACGCAGAGCUGUGCAAAGCACACAUCUGUCUUAUCGUUCCCCUCUUUUUGCCAGGGUCUUCGGGAAACGAGGUCCCAAAAGGGUCCGCUAACUGGCUAUCGCUCGCACUUCUCAUCGAUUUCCAAACCCAUUCCCCGCGCCGGAUCGCUGUGCCCCCCGACCCCUAUGCCCCCCGGUUUUCACAGGAGUAAGGGCACGCGUGCAGACACUGCUGGGCCAGGUGCCCGUGGACGCCAACCCAAUGAUCCUUUCCAAGUUACGUUAUCGCAUAAGCACCGCCUGCUGGGGGGCAUACUGGGGCACUCGCCCGUAGGUUAUGCGCACCUCCGUUCAUCUAUUGACUAAAGGGUUCGCAGCAGCCGAAGCGACGGGGGAGUGGACCGUGCACGCGAUUGAGGCACUCCCACACAUUCGGAGCAACGGGAAGACGACGUUUACAGCCAAUUUCUGCCUACACUAUUGGAGCUUAUUAUUGUUGCUCUCACUUCCCCCCCCCCCGCCCUCAGUGUCCCUCGUUUGUAAGCGGCAGGCCCGGCCCAGUUGGAGACCUGGUGGUGAUUAGGCAGUCCCCUCGGAGCGCCAGACGCACAGCUGUACUGUUGAGGAAACGGUCCUCACCCAACUCGUAUGGUUGUCGACCAGGGGAUCUGACCCCGGGUCUGCGCCUGACUAAUGGGGAAGACUUACCCCAGAACCUUAUGGGGCUACCGAUGCAUAUCCGGUAGCUAAGUGAUAGACAUUAGGGCACCGUCUGGACGGCGCAGUGAGAUCACGGAAUGUACGUGCAGUUAGAUCGCGGAAUGUACGAGUUUUCCGCUAGCGCCGGUAUUUAGGGCGGUGACUGCGCCUAUUAGUUUAUCUCACAACGAUCGGUAUUCCUACCAGGAAUCUCCUCAAGUCCUGCCGAACGCUAACAAUACUCUUUACAUUACUUGUAACAAGUUUAUCGUGCUAAAUAUCUUCGCCACCGGCAAUCCUUCCGGAAUAACAAUCAGCGUUAGCCGUCACCGUCGCCAAUUCUUCAAUAUGUACAGCGAUAACCGCAGGGCAAAUAAGUGCCUUUAGAGUAUCGUUGCGCGCUAGGAAUGUCGCCUGGUCAGCACCGCUGGCCAGGUUGUGGUUCGUGCGUCGCUGACGCUUCAGGUUUGCCCUCGGGGCGGGUGACCAGUGGACGCAGUUAUUAAUGCUGCAUUUAGUUGUCUUGUGCUGUGUGUCAGUUUUUUCGGCCGUGCGGUGUGGCCGCGCUAGACAGUGCGCUCAGACCGCGCCGAGUGGCGCUAGACCGCACUUCGGCACACAUGUGCGCCCUGGCGCUCCGAGAGUACUGCAGUACUGCAGUAGUGUAAGGCCCAUAGGGUUUGGCACUACUGGUAAGGCGCGACCAUUGCCCCCAGGAGAUCCCGGGAUCGAUACCCGGGUCACAGGUCCUUCCAACGGUGGGAGGCAUUGCGCCCCUAGUUGAUGGACGGUGGUGACCUGGGAUAAAGUUAACCGAGCCGACCAGGAAUGGAAUUGGGCCGCUGUCGACCCGGCAUAUUCCGUUGGAAGCUGGUGGUGGGUGCGUAACCUGAGCGAUCCACUGAGAAGUUGACUAGGGUGACUGGAUGAGGGUGCCCGAAAUGCCGGGGAAGGCAGGGUUUCGCAGGGUGGCUGCCACGGGCGAAGAUACCCCCCUGUUUCACACAUCUUUCAUAGGGCGGUAUUCCUCAACGGAAUCUCUUAAAAGUCCUGCCGAUCGUUACUCUGAUAAGUCCAAACUCUUCGCCGGCAUUCCCGUUUCGAAGUAACAGUCAGCCUCUGCCGCCGCCGUCGAUUCAUCAAGGGCAUCGAUGACACGUCCCUGGAGCUCGUAAGACUCCAGAAAGUGACAGAAAGAGCGUCUCGUGGUCCAGGGCAAAGGCCUCGCUGAAGUCAAUCUGCAUGAC